Molecule: transfer RNA, 70 nt
Filed under: Schistura balteata
Lineage: Eukaryota; Metazoa; Chordata; Actinopteri; Cypriniformes; Nemacheilidae
Description: tRNA-Arg
Rfam family: tRNA
About the family: Transfer RNA (tRNA) molecules are approximately 80 nucleotides in length. Their secondary structure includes four short double-helical elements and three loops (D, anti-codon, and T loops).
Source: RNAcentral
AAGGGGUUAGUCUAAUACAAGACCUCUGAUUUCGGCUCAGGAAAUCGUGGUUUAACUCCACGGCCCCAUU